Non-coding RNA from Trichonephila clavipes, 74 nucleotides. Lineage: Eukaryota; Metazoa; Arthropoda; Arachnida; Araneae; Nephilidae. The record is from the annotation of a GenBank genome assembly.
UGGGGUGUAGAGCUCCGUUGUAGAGCAUUCGACUGCUGAUCGAGAGGGCCCCGGUUCAAACCUAGGUGCCCCAU